CUGCAACCAAUUAAGCCAACCAAGUUCCUUUUCUCACAGAGGCCCAGUGUGCAAACAGCAGCUUUCUUGGUAAUAUACACAGCCAAUUUUGUGAAUGGGCUACUCUAAGGGACCCUGGAGACAACC
RNAcentral lists this small nucleolar RNA (126 nucleotides) under Aotus nancymaae (Ma's night monkey). RNAcentral describes it as "Small nucleolar RNA SNORA70 (ENSANAG00000010185.1)". It matches the Rfam family "Small nucleolar RNA SNORA70". From Rfam's summary of the family: snoRNA U70 seems to be exclusive to mammals and is a member of the H/ACA class of snoRNA which contain H (ANANNA) and ACA box motifs. H/ACA box snoRNAs are involved in the conversion of uridines to pseudouridines (5-ribosyluracil) a constituent of structural RNAs (transfer, ribosomal, small nuclear, and small nucleolar). Lineage: Eukaryota; Metazoa; Chordata; Mammalia; Primates; Aotidae. The record is from Rfam by way of RNAcentral.